CAGUCGCCACGGUAAUACGAAGGGGGCUAGCGUUGUUCGGAUUUACUGGGCGUAAAGCGCACGUAGGCGGAUUCUUAAGUCAGAGGUGAAAUCCCAAGGCUCAACCUUGGAACUGCCUUUGAUACUGGGGAUCUUGAGUCCGGGAGAGGUGAGUGGAACUGCGAGUGUAGAGGUGAAAUUCGUAGAUAUUCGCAAGAACACCAGUGGCGAAGGCGGCUCACUGGCCCGGUACUGACGCUGAGGUGCGAAAGCGUGGGGAGCAAACAGGAUUAGAUACCCGAGUAGUCCCUGUCUCUUAUAC
This 301-nucleotide ribosomal RNA is filed under the name uncultured bacterium. RNAcentral's name for it is "partial 16S ribosomal RNA". It matches the Rfam family "Bacterial small subunit ribosomal RNA", at positions 509 to 807 of the family's 1533-position model. The record is from RNAcentral.